Small nuclear RNA from Hippopotamus amphibius kiboko, 106 nucleotides. The record is from RefSeq and is a predicted model, not a curated record. Lineage: Eukaryota; Metazoa; Chordata; Mammalia; Artiodactyla; Hippopotamidae.
GUGCUCAUGUGGGCAGCACUUAUGAUAAAAUUGGAAUGGUGCAGAGAAAUUAGUGUGGUUUCUGCACAAGGGUGACACACAGACUCAUGAAGCAUUCUAUACUUUU